RNAcentral lists this ribosomal RNA (253 nucleotides) under uncultured bacterium. RNAcentral's name for it is "partial 16S ribosomal RNA". It matches the Rfam family "Bacterial small subunit ribosomal RNA", at positions 524 to 776 of the family's 1533-position model. The record is from RNAcentral.
GACGGAGGGGACUAGCGUUGUUCGGAAUUACUGGGCGUAAAGCGUGCGUAGGCGGGCUGGAAAGUCAGAGGUGAAAUCCCGGGGCUCAACCCCGGAACUGCCUUUGAAACUUCCAGUCUUGAGUCCGGAAGAGGUGAGUGGAAUUCCGAGUGUAGAGGUGAAAUUCGUAGAUAUUCGGAAGAACACCAGUGGCGAAGGCGGCUCACUGGUCCGGUACUGACGCUGAGGUACGAAAGCGUGGGGAGCAAACAGG